ACCACUAGACGCUGCUGCACUGC
RNAcentral lists this microRNA (23 nucleotides) under Xenopus laevis (African clawed frog). Its description in RNAcentral is "Xla-Mir-12479-P1_5p (mature (guide))". Lineage: Eukaryota; Metazoa; Chordata; Amphibia; Anura; Pipidae. The record is from RNAcentral.